GGUUGUCAUGCCAAUGGCACUGCCCGGUAGCUAAAUGCGGAAGAGAUAAGUGCUGAAAGCAUCUAAGCACGAAACUUGCCCCGAGAUGAGUUCUCCCUGACUCCUUGAGAGUCCUGAAGGAACGUUGAAGACGACGACGUUGAUAGGCCGGGUGUGUAAGCGCAGCGAUGCGUUGAGCUAACCGGUACUAAUGAACCGUGAGGCUUAACCUU
Molecule: ribosomal RNA, 212 nt
Filed under: Escherichia coli
Lineage: Bacteria; Pseudomonadati; Pseudomonadota; Gammaproteobacteria; Enterobacterales; Enterobacteriaceae
Description: partial 23S ribosomal RNA
Rfam family: Bacterial large subunit ribosomal RNA
Source: RNAcentral